Pongo abelii (Sumatran orangutan) is the source of this 107-nucleotide small nuclear RNA. The record is from Ensembl. NCBI's taxonomy places the organism in Eukaryota, Metazoa, Chordata, Mammalia, Primates, Hominidae.
GUGCUUGCUUUGGCAGCACAUAUGCUAAAAUUGGAACGAUACACAGAAGAUUGGCAUGGCCCCUGCGCAAGAACGACACGCAAAUUCAUGAAGCGUUCCAUAUUUUU